UAUUAAUUGAUUACUGCAAUAUAUUGUACAUCACUGCUUUGUGCUGUCCUAAUUUUUGUAAUAUUUUGUUUGGUUUUUUAUUUUAGGAAUCAAACAGUUAUGUUCCAGUGCCUUCAUAAUCUCAUCAGAAUUCUCCCUAUAAACUGUUUCCUCAAAAAUCUAAAAUCAGGAAGUGAGAAUUUCCUAAUUGAUAAUAUGGCAUUUACGUUGGAGAAGGAACUAGUCACCCUUAGUUCUGUUUCUUCUGCCAUAGCUAAACAUGAAAGCAAUUUUAUGCAGAGGUGUGAAGUGAGCAAAGGAAAGAGUAGUGUCGUCGUGGGUGCUUUAUCAGACAGAAGGGAAAACAUCCAUCCCUACAGAAAAGAACUUCAGAGAGAAAAGAAGAAAAUGUUGCAAACGAACCUAAAACUUGGACAGUGUCAGAAACUGAGAGGAUUCCAUUUUCUUCCUUGUCUUCUAAAUUACAAAGAUGUUACUUUCCACUCUAAGAAUUUGGGAGUGAAACAUCUUUCUUGUGUAACCCAU
RNAcentral lists this long non-coding RNA (525 nucleotides) under Rhinopithecus bieti (black snub-nosed monkey). Its description in RNAcentral is "lncRNA (ENSRBIG00000046604.1)". Lineage: Eukaryota; Metazoa; Chordata; Mammalia; Primates; Cercopithecidae. The record is from RNAcentral.